CCUACGGGUGGCAGCAGUGAGGAAUAUUGGUCAAUGGACGAGAGUCUGAACCAGCCAAGUAGCGUGAAGGAUGACUGCCCUAUGGGUUGUAAACUUCUUUUAUAAAGGAAUAAAACGAGGCACGUGUGCCUUUUUGCAUGUACUUUAUGAAUAAGGAUCGGCUAACUCCGUGCCAGCAGCCGCGGUAAUACGGAGGAUCCGAGCGUUAUCCGGAUUUAUUGGGUUUAAAGGGAGCGUAGAUGGGUUGUUAAGUCAGUUGUGAAAGUUUGCGGCUCAACCGUAAAAUUGCAAUUGAUACUGGCAGUCUUGAGUACAGGUGAGGUAGGCGGAAUGCGUGGUGGAGCGGUGAAAUGCUUAGAUAUCACGAAGAACCCCGAUUGCGAAGGCAGCUUACUGGACAGUAACUGACGGUGAGGCUCGAAAGCGUGGGGAGCAAACAGGAUUAGAUACCCGAGUAGUC
This 460-nucleotide ribosomal RNA is filed under the name uncultured bacterium. RNAcentral describes it as "partial 16S ribosomal RNA". It matches the Rfam family "Bacterial small subunit ribosomal RNA", at positions 338 to 795 of the family's 1533-position model. The record is from RNAcentral.